AGCGGCCUUGGGAACUCUUACAUUAAGGGUGAUGAAUCUUGUGUUAAGAAACUCAUUGAUUAUUGUUUAAUGCUCUAUAUUAUUUAUGUCACAUUGAUCAUGAGAUUGUGGGAUCUAUACAAUCUAGUUGUUAUACUUGUGGAGUUCGUCUUGGACUCACACUUGCUAUCUCCCCCACACCUCAGGAGAAGUAAUGGGCUUGUGAUCAACCAGUCAGUUGGAUCCUGUAGAGUGAAAUUAACACCCGAAGUUUGGAGUUAUCUUCCACGGUUUGCUGCCUAAGGUUGUUUCUGAUUUAUUAAGUACGUUAUAUAAUUUAUGCGUUGUCCUUUGAUAUUACCCCUUAUUUGUAGCUAUAUGUGAGGCUUGUCUUCUAAAACUCACAUAUGGUGCAUAUCUGAUUUUGUUCUUAAAAUCGGGUGUUACACAAUCGCAGAUAAAUACGGUAUAAGCGCCACGCCUACACAAUAUCUAUCAUUUACCCAUAGAUCCGAUGGAUAAACGCUAUAUGAUCCUAUGCAUGUAUAUAGAUCCAAUCUAACUAAGCCAAGUACACAACUAUGAUAAACUAAGAACAAUAUAAUCUUAAAUAUAAGCAAGUAGAACAAUGUCAUAAGCAAUAUAUUGAAGUAGAACAAAGUCAUAUUCAUAAUAUUGAAGAACAAAGAUAAUUAGAAGAACAAUUAGAAGCACAAUUAGAGAUUUACCAAGAAUCCUCUUGACAGAUCCGGAAACCAAUCGAAGAUUGACUCCUUCUAGUUCUAAUCCUAUGUAGCUAUGCUAAUCUAGAUAUCUAAUUGAUGUGGUGGCACUAAUCUUGAUCAGAGGCUUCUUCUCCCUUGAGAAUAAUGAAUUAGGGUUGAGAGGCUCUCUCCUCCAGGGGCCAGAGGGUCUGGUUUUAUAGUCCCUUCAAGUGAAUAUGGGCCGUUGGAUAAAACCGACAUUGAUUUAACGGUUAUCCUUGAUCCUUUAGGUCGGUGGAGAUCUCCCACGAAACAGAGUCCUGAUUGGCCUCCAAGUCAGGGCGGGCGCCCAGGGAAACAGGGCGGGCGCCCUGCCUCUGGCCCCUCUCAGCCUCCGCUUGCUUCCCGUGGCUUCUGGAGUCUUCUAGAUGUAAGAUAAUUGCGCGGCACGUUAAUAUCUCUAUGUAAUCCCGACGUGUGGGCCUUUCUUCCGUAUUUCCUGAUAACCCCCUGCAGAAAUAGACAAACACCAAAACUCGUGGAAUUCUGUCAGAUAAAAUCCUAAGUCUAGAUGUUUAUUUCAUUUGGAUCCUUUUCUUUAUUUAUUUGAUAAUUAAAUUUGAUACUUAAGGACCGUCAACAAACUCCCCCAAGCUUACCUCUUGCUCGUCCCUGAGCAAGGAUAGAUUAGAAGUUGCUGCAAUACUUUUAAAAAAUGAUGGUACACAUGUUUUUAAAUAAGGUCUCAUCUCUGAGUUAGAGUAAACUGUCAAGACUUAAAACUUACUUACUUUACCUUUCACCAUGGGACUUGUAACCGUCACUUCUGUCUUGAGUAGUUAAAAGAUAGAACAGUCUAGUCAAGUGCCAUGUCUCUUAUUCUUGAUCAGCUAUAGCUCUAGAGUUUUUGCAGAUUUUCAAAUAAAACUCAGAGAUUCCUUGUAUGACUCUCUCAUAUCUCUCUUUUGUGGUAUUUUUAGAUCCUUACCAAGGCAGUGAUGGUAUAUGCCUUCUCUCAAUAUAUGUAGUAUUUGUGGUAUAAGGCAUAGUGACAUUGUCUUCUCUCUCACCCUACUCUAAUAAGGCUUUAAUAUCUAGAGCUCAUAGGUGGGAGAUAAAGUAUACAUACUUACAAGACAUUUAUUGUAUAGUCAAACCAUGGAUCCAAAGAAACAAAUCAAUAAGUCAAAUCAAGAUGUGCAUGUGUGGUGAAUGAAUGGUGUAUGGUGAUGAUGGUGAUAACAAUGGUGAAAGUCUAAUUCUACUUUUGCUCUUUUGAGAGGAUACAUUCCUUGCUUUUUGAAUAGUGAGAAUGAGAUGCUCUAUAUUUUUCUUUUGUCUCAGGCGGGUAUCUUGUACCCCUAAUUCUACUGUCGGACACUUGUCCAUUUUUCCUCUCGUCUCACUUUUUCUUUUCUUUCGGGGUUCCGGGCACUUGCCCCUUUUUAUUUCCUCGUAUUAUUAUUUUUUUUCUCUUUUUUUUUCUUUUUUUUAGAGCACUCAUCUCUUGAGAUAAUAUAGUAACAAGAUAACUUGAGCAUUUAUUUCACAGGGAAAAAACAAAAAUAUUUUUGGUUAUUCUCGCCCGGAUUAGGAGUAGAAUAUUUUUGGGUGAUUCUGGAGAUGGAAAUGGGUGGAUAUAUGUGGAUGGUACUUCCGGAGUAGAAGUAGCAUAUAUGAGUGAACCUGCAAGUGAAAUCUUGAUUUAACCACAUGACAAGCUCCUAAGGGUCUACACAGCUUGACCACACUCAAUGCUCAUAAGCAGUAAAUAGUAAAUGUGUGGCUCAAAGUCUAGCAAGCAUGUAUAUAUGGUUGUGGUAGGAAUUUAAACUCUCAUCAUACAGGAACUCAUCAUGCAACAUUUUAAAGAUUUUCAAAGAUAAAAUUCUCCAGAAUUCUAGCAUCUCUAGGAACAGAUAAACAGCAGCUCAACCUUCCCAUAUCGUAUCCGUUAACAACUUAGACUUCAGAUCAAGUUUUCAUCCCAUAGGUUUAGGUUUAGGGCAAGCUUUAAAUUAUAACAGUUAUGUCUAAACUUGAGAGAGAACUUAAAAUGUGCAAAUUAGGCAGAGUAACUAUUCAUCAUAUCCAUGCUUGAGUUUUAUUUAGAUACAGAUUAGCAUAGCCACUUUAUUUAUUUAUUAAACACACUAAGCAAAAGAUAUAUAUAUAAGCAUAAAAUCUUUAUUUGGUUUUUCAUAGUUAUAUUUUAAUAUAAUAUAAGUAUAAAGAUAGAUAGAUAGAUAGAAAUACUUAUCGAGAUAAAUGGGGGUGCUCUCCCCCAAGCUGAAUUUUAACGUAAUUUCUCUUGAUGUAGCUAGCAGGUGGCAGAGGUGUAUUUGAAAGUCAGCAGCAUUCUGACAUCGAUUAGAAUGUCCUCCGUCUGCUAGUCUACUUGAUUCUUAACUUCUGUGGAGCUCAAAUAGACAACAAAGCUUGUGGAACUGAUUAAGUGUUAGCAUAAAUAUCUAGCCUUUAUCAUGUUGAGACUCCAUAAUAAAUGUUACUCCCUGUUUUUAUAUUUUUAUUUUAUAAAGUAGAAAAGAAAUUUUAUUUUUAUGCCACCACAGUGAAUGUACUUAUGGGUUUUAUGCCACUCGUAUACUCACAUGGGGCUUACUAUUUUUUCACAUUUUUAUUUUUUUUAGGAUAGUACGAACAUGAUUAACUAAGUAAACUAUUUGAAAUAAUUGAAAGGGAAAGGAUAACUACCAAGUUUACCUCAUGGCAAGGCGUUCGGUGUUUUUAAGUCCUCCGAACAGGACUCUCCAUUUUCUCAAUUGUCCUGGGAUUCGUUGGGUGGCGUAGUCGGUACUUCCAGCAGCGCCUCCUCUUCAUGUAUAGUUAUCUUCUCUUUCCAUAUAUGACUCGGUGCUUCAGUCUCCUCUGGAUAAUUCUGUUUAAACUCUACAUCUUCUGACCUUACAACUUCUCCUUCAUAGUCUGCCCAUCCGUCCUUGAUGAUUUGCCUCCUCUGGUUGCGGUUGCGUCAUUUUCUUGCCUGCUUAGAUUCUUCAACGAUAUAGUCAGGGUCAAUAAAAUAACGGCGUACCUUCUGUGAGGGGAAGUGCAUAUGGACUUCUCCGGUUCCAAUGUAGAUUAUUGCUUUAACGGUGCUGAGGAACGGUCUUCCAAGGAUGAUGGGUGGAUUGUACUCAUUUUCUCCCAUGUCAAUAACUUGAAAGUCUGUGUAGACAAAAUGAUCGUCUAUUUUGACUGGGACAUCAGUUACUGUUCCUUUAACUUCUCGAAAUGUCUGAUCUGCCAUCUGGAGCUGAAUGUAUGUUGGUUUUAGGGACAUGGUUCCGAACAAGAGCCGAUAGGUGACUGCGGCCAUUAUGUUGACGCCCGAUCCAGUGUCGCAAAAUGUCUUGUAGAAGCUGUAUCCAUUUAUGGAGCAGUAGAUGCUUGGCAGUUGUUGACGGUCCUUAAGUAUCAAAUUUAAUUAUCAAAUAAAUAAAGAAAAGGAUCCAAAUGAAAUCAAGAUCUAGACUUAGGGUUUUAUCUGACAGAAUUCCACGAGUUUUGGUGUUUGUCUAUUUCUGCAGGGGGUUAUCAGGAAAUAUGGAAGAAAGGCCCACAUGUCAGGAUUACGUAAAGAUAUUAACGUGCUGUGCAAUUAUCUUACAUCUAGAAGACUCCAGAAGCCACGAGACCGAAGCGGAAGUGAAACGGGGCCUGACCCUGGGCGGCCGCCCAGUUGGUCAGGGCGCCCGCCCUGCCCCUGAGUCCAAUCAGGACUCUGCUUUGCGGGAGAUCUCCACCGACCUAAUGGAUG
Molecule: long non-coding RNA, 4464 nt
Filed under: Sorghum bicolor (sorghum)
Lineage: Eukaryota; Viridiplantae; Streptophyta; Magnoliopsida; Poales; Poaceae
Description: long non-coding RNA (SBIC_LNC000858)
Source: RNAcentral